CAGCAGCCGCGGGAAUACCGAGGGUGCGAGCGUUAAUCGGAUUUACUGGGCGUAAAGCGUGCGUAGGCGGCUAAUUGAGUCGGAUGUGAAAUCCCCGAGCUUAACUUGGGAAUUGCAUUCGAUACUGGUUAGCUAGAGUGUGGGAGAGGAUGGUAGAAUUCCAGGUGUAGCGGUGAAAUGCGUAGAGAUCUGGAGGAAUACCGAUGGCGAAGGCAGCCAUCUGGCCUAACACUGACGCUGAGGUACGAAAGCAUGGGGAGCAAACAGGAUUAGAUACCCCUGUAGUCCCUGUCUCUUAUAC
Molecule: ribosomal RNA, 301 nt
Filed under: uncultured bacterium
Lineage: Bacteria
Description: partial 16S ribosomal RNA
Rfam family: Bacterial small subunit ribosomal RNA
Source: RNAcentral